Molecule: ribosomal RNA, 2902 nt
Filed under: Klebsiella pneumoniae
Lineage: Bacteria; Pseudomonadati; Pseudomonadota; Gammaproteobacteria; Enterobacterales; Enterobacteriaceae
Description: 23S ribosomal RNA
Rfam family: Bacterial large subunit ribosomal RNA
Source: RNAcentral
GGUUAAGCGACUAAGCGUACACGGUGGAUGCCCUGGCAGUCAGAGGCGAUGAAGGACGUGCUAAUCUGCGAAAAGCGUCGGUAAGGUGAUAUGAACCGUUAUAACCGGCGAUGUCCGAAUGGGGAAACCCAGUGCAAUUCGUUGCACUAUCGUUAACUGAAUACAUAGGUUAACGAGGCGAACCGGGGGAACUGAAACAUCUAAGUACCCCGAGGAAAAGAAAUCAACCGAGAUUCCCCCAGUAGCGGCGAGCGAACGGGGAGCAGCCCAGAGUCUGAAUCAGCUUGUGUGUUAGUGGAACGGUCUGGAAAGUCCGACGGUACAGGGUGAUAGUCCCGUACACCAAAAUGCACAGGCUGUGAACUCGAAGAGUAGGGCGGGACACGUGGUAUCCUGUCUGAAUAUGGGGGGACCAUCCUCCAAGGCUAAAUACUCCUGACUGACCGAUAGUGAACCAGUACCGUGAGGGAAAGGCGAAAAGAACCCCGGCGAGGGGAGUGAAAAAGAACCUGAAACCGUGUACGUACAAGCAGUGGGAGCACCUUCGGGUGUGACUGCGUACCUUUUGUAUAAUGGGUCAGCGACUUAUAUUCUGUAGCAAGGUUAACCGUAUAGGGGAGCCGCAGGGAAACCGAGUCUUAACUGGGCGUUAAGUUGCAGGGUAUAGACCCGAAACCCGGUGAUCUAGCCAUGGGCAGGUUGAAGGUUGGGUAACACUAACUGGAGGACCGAACCGACUAAUGUUGAAAAAUUAGCGGAUGACUUGUGGCUGGGGGUGAAAGGCCAAUCAAACCGGGAGAUAGCUGGUUCUCCCCGAAAGCUAUUUAGGUAGCGCCUCGUGAACUCAUCUUCGGGGGUAGAGCACUGUUUCGGCUAGGGGGUCAUCCCGACUUACCAACCCGAUGCAAACUACGAAUACCGAAGAAUGUUAUCACGGGAGACACACGGCGGGUGCUAACGUCCGUCGUGAAGAGGGAAACAACCCAGACCGCCAGCUAAGGUCCCAAAGUCAUGGUUAAGUGGGAAACGAUGUGGGAAGGCACAGACAGCCAGGAUGUUGGCUUAGAAGCAGCCAUCAUUUAAAGAAAGCGUAAUAGCUCACUGGUCGAGUCGGCCUGCGCGGAAGAUGUAACGGGGCUAAACCAUGCACCGAAGCUGCGGCAGCGACACUAUGUGUUGUUGGGUAGGGGAGCGUUCUGUAAGCCUGCGAAGGUGACCUGUGAGGGUUGCUGGAGGUAUCAGAAGUGCGAAUGCUGACAUAAGUAACGAUAAAGCGGGUGAAAAGCCCGCUCGCCGGAAGACCAAGGGUUCCUGUCCAACGUUAAUCGGGGCAGGGUGAGUCGACCCCUAAGGCGAGGCCGAAAGGCGUAGUCGAUGGGAAACAGGUUAAUAUUCCUGUACUUGGUGUUACUGCGAAGGGGGGACGGAGAAGGCUAUGUUAGCCGGGCGACGGUUGUCCCGGUUUAAGCAUGUAGGCUGAUUGUCCAGGCAAAUCCGGAUAAUCAAGGCUGAGGUGUGAUGACGAGGCACUACGGUGCUGAAGUAACAAAUGCCCUGCUUCCAGGAAAAGCCUCUAAGCAUCAGGUAACAUCAAAUCGUACCCCAAACCGACACAGGUGGUCAGGUAGAGAAUACCAAGGCGCUUGAGAGAACUCGGGUGAAGGAACUAGGCAAAAUGGUGCCGUAACUUCGGGAGAAGGCACGCUGGUGUGUAGGUGAAGCCCCUGCGGGUGGAGCUGAGACCAGUCGAAGAUACCAGCUGGCUGCAACUGUUUAUUAAAAACACAGCACUGUGCAAACACGAAAGUGGACGUAUACGGUGUGACGCCUGCCCGGUGCCGGAAGGUUAAUUGAUGGGGUUAUCCGUAAGGAGAAGCUCUUGAUCGAAGCCCCGGUAAACGGCGGCCGUAACUAUAACGGUCCUAAGGUAGCGAAAUUCCUUGUCGGGUAAGUUCCGACCUGCACGAAUGGCGUAAUGAUGGCCAGGCUGUCUCCACCCGAGACUCAGUGAAAUUGAACUCGCUGUGAAGAUGCAGUGUACCCGCGGCAAGACGGAAAGACCCCGUGAACCUUUACUAUAGCUUGACACUGAACAUUGAGCCUUGAUGUGUAGGAUAGGUGGGAGGCUUUGAAGCGUGGACGCCAGUCUGCGUGGAGCCAACCUUGAAAUACCACCCUUUAAUGUUUGAUGUUCUAACGUUGGCCCCUGACCGGGGUUGCGGACAGUGUCUGGUGGGUAGUUUGACUGGGGCGGUCUCCUCCCAAAGCGUAACGGAGGAGCACGAAGGUUAGCUAAUCCUGGUCGGACAUCAGGAGGUUAGUGCAAUGGCAUAAGCUAGCUUGACUGCGAGCGUGACGGCGCGAGCAGGUGCGAAAGCAGGUCAUAGUGAUCCGGUGGUUCUGAAUGGAAGGGCCAUCGCUCAACGGAUAAAAGGUACUCCGGGGAUAACAGGCUGAUACCGCCCAAGAGUUCAUAUCGACGGCGGUGUUUGGCACCUCGAUGUCGGCUCAUCACAUCCUGGGGCUGAAGUAGGUCCCAAGGGUAUGGCUGUUCGCCAUUUAAAGUGGUACGCGAGCUGGGUUUAGAACGUCGUGAGACAGUUCGGUCCCUAUCUGCCGUGGGCGCUGGAGAAUUGAGGGGGGCUGCUCCUAGUACGAGAGGACCGGAGUGGACGCAUCACUGGUGUUCGGGUUGUCAUGCCAAUGGCACUGCCCGGUAGCUAAAUGCGGAAGAGAUAAGUGCUGAAAGCAUCUAAGCACGAAACUUGCCCCGAGAUGAGUUCUCCCUGAGACUUUAAGUCUCCUGAAGGAACGUUAAAGACGAUGACGUUGAUAGGCCGGGUGUGUAAGCGCAGCGAUGCGUUGAGCUAACCGGUACUAAUGAACCGUGAGGCUUAACCUU